Molecule: ribosomal RNA, 1027 nt
Filed under: Dinemasporium sp.
Lineage: Eukaryota; Fungi; Ascomycota; Sordariomycetes; Chaetosphaeriales; Chaetosphaeriaceae
Description: SSU rRNA
Rfam family: Eukaryotic small subunit ribosomal RNA
Source: RNAcentral
CAUUAUACCGCGAAACUGCGAAUGGCUCAUUAAAUCAGUUAUCGUUUAUUUGAUAGUGCCUGUCCUACUUGGAUAACCGUGGUAAUUCUAGAGCUAAUACAUGCUAAAAAUCCCGACUUCGGAAGGGAUGCAUUUAUUGGAUACAGAACCAACGCCCUUCGGGGCUUCCUGGUGAAUCACAAUAACUCCGCGGAUCGCACGGCCUUGCGCCGGCGAUGGUUCAUUCAAAUUUCUGCCCUAUCAACUUUCGACGGCUGGGUCUUGGCCAGCCGUGGUGACAACGGGUAACGGAGGGUUAGGGCUUGACCCCGGAGAAGGAGCCUGAGAGACGGCUACUACAUCCAAGGAAGGCAGCAGGCGCGCAAAUUACCCAAUCCCGACUCGGGGAGGUAGUGACAAUAAAUACUGAUCCAGGGCUCUUUUGGGUCUUGGAAUUGGAAUGAGUACAAUUUAAAUCCCUUAACGAGGAACAAUUGGAGGGCAAGUCUGGUGCCAGCAGCCGCGGUAAUUCCAGCUCCAAUAGCGUAUAUUAAAGUUGUUGAGGUUAAAAAGCUCGUAGUUGAACCUUGGCCCUGGCUGGCCGGUCCGCCUCACCGCGAGCACUGGUCCGGCCGGGGCUUUCCCUCUGGGGACCCUCAUGCCCUUCACUGGGUGUGCUGGAGAACCAGGACUUUUACUGUGAACAAAUCAGAUCGCUCAAAGAAGGCUCUCGCUCGAAUGCUUCAGCAUGGAAUAAUAAAAUAGGACGUGCGGUUCUAUUUUGUUGGUUUCUAGGACCGCCGUAAUGAUUAAUAGGGACAGUCGGGGGUGUCAGUAUUCAAUCGUCAGAGGUGAAAUUCUUGGAUCGAUUGAAGACUAACUACUGCGAAAGCAUUCACCAAGGAUGUUUUCAUUAAUCAGGAACGAAAGUUAGGGGAUCGAAGACGAUCAGAUACCGUCGUAGUCUUAACCAUAAACUAUGCCGAUUAGGGAUCGGACGAUGUUAUUUUUUGACUCGUUCGGCACCUUACGAUAAAUCAAAAUGUUG